AGUGAACGCUGGCGGUAGGCCUAACACAUGCAAGUCGAACGGCAGCACAGUAAGAGCUUGCUCUUACGGGUGGCGAGUGGCGGACGGGUGAGGAAUACAUCGGAAUCUACUUUUUCGUGGGGGAUGACGUAGGGAAACUUACGCUAAUACCGCAUACGACCUACGGGUGAAAGCAGGGGAUCUUCGGACCUUGCGCGAUUGAAUGAGCCGAUGUCGGAUUAGCUAGUUGGCGGGGUAAAGGCCCACCAAGGCGACGAUCCGUAGCUGGUCUGAGAGGAUGAUCAGCCACACUGGAACUGAGACACGGUCCAGACUCCUACGGGAGGCAGCAGUGGGGAAUAUUGGACAAUGGGCGCAAGCCUGAUCCAGCCAUACCGCGUGGGUGAAGAAGGCCUUCGGGUUGUAAAGCCCUUCUGUUGGGAAAGAAAAGCAGCAGGUUAAUACCCCGCUGUUCUGACGGUACCCAAAGAAUAAGCACCGGCUAACUUCGUG
Molecule: ribosomal RNA, 492 nt
Filed under: uncultured bacterium
Lineage: Bacteria
Description: partial 16S ribosomal RNA
Rfam family: Bacterial small subunit ribosomal RNA
Source: RNAcentral